AGAGUUUGAUCCUGGCUCAGAUUGAACGCUGGCGGAAUGCUUUACACAUGCAAGUCGAACGAUGAACCUUAGCUUGCUAAGGGGAUUAGUGGCGAACGGGUGAGUAAUAUAUCGGAACGUGCCUUGUAGUGGGGGAUAACUAGUCGAAAGAUUAGCUAAUACCGCAUACGCCCUGAGGGGGAAAGUAGGGGAUCUUCGGACCUUACGUUAUAAGAGCGGCCGAUAUCUGAUUAGCUAGUUGGUGGGGUAAAGGCCUACCAAGGCAUCGAUCAGUAGCUGGUCUGAGAGGACGACCAGCCACACUGGAACUGAGACACGGUCCAGACUCCUACGGGAGGCAGCAGUGGGGAAUUUUGGACAAUGGGGGCAACCCUGAUCCAGCAAUGCCGCGUGAGUGAAGAAGGCCUUCGGGUUGUAAAGCUCUUUUGUCAGGGAAGAAACGGUGAGGGCUAAUAUCCUUUGCUAAUGACGGUACCUGAAGAAUAAGCACCGGCUAACUACGUGCCAGCAGCCGCGGUAAUACGUAGGGUGCAGGCGUUAAUCGGAAUUACUGGGCGUAAAGCGUGCGCAGGCGGUUAUGUAAGUCAGAUGUGAAAUCCCCGGGCUCAACCUGGGAAUGGCAUUUGAGACUGCACGGCUAGAGUGUGUCAGAGGGGGGUAGAAUUCCACGUGUAGCAGUGAAAUGCGUAGAGAUGUGGAGGAAUACCGAUGGCGAAGGCAGCCCCCUGGGAUAACACUGACGCUCAUGCACGAAAGCGUGGGGAGCAAACAGGAUUAGAUACCCUGGUAGUCCACGCCCUAA
Molecule: ribosomal RNA, 802 nt
Filed under: uncultured bacterium
Lineage: Bacteria
Description: bacterial SSU rRNA
Rfam family: Bacterial small subunit ribosomal RNA
Source: RNAcentral